AUCCAGAUGAUGAGUCCAAAGUGGGACGAAAUGUGCAUCCUAGAU
RNAcentral lists this non-coding RNA (45 nucleotides) under Trichobilharzia regenti. The record is from RNAcentral. Lineage: Eukaryota; Metazoa; Platyhelminthes; Trematoda; Strigeidida; Schistosomatidae.